Molecule: ribosomal RNA, 480 nt
Filed under: uncultured bacterium
Lineage: Bacteria
Also listed under: 1 other name
Description: bacterial SSU rRNA
Rfam family: Bacterial small subunit ribosomal RNA
Source: RNAcentral
GAUGAACGCUAGCGGCAGGCCUAACACAUGCAAGUCGAGGGGUAGUAAGUCUUCGGAUUUAUGAGACCGGCGCACGGGUGCGUAACGCGUAUGCAAUCUACCUUGUUCAAAGGGAUAGCCCAGAGAAAUUUGGAUUAAUACCUUAUAGUAUUAUAAAAUGGCAUCAUUUAAUAAUUAAAGAUUUAUCGGAACAAGAUGAGCAUGCGUCCCAUUAGCUAGUUGGUAUGGUAACGGCAUACCAAGGCAAUGAUGGGUAGGGGUCCUGAGAGGGAGAUCCCCCACACUGGUACUGAGACACGGACCAGACUCCUACGGGAGGCAGCAGUGAGGAAUAUUGGACAAUGGGCGCAAGCCUGAUCCAGCCAUGCCGCGUGCAGGAAGACGGUCCUAUGGAUUGUAAACUGCUUUUAUACAGGAAGAAACAACUCUACGUGUAGAGUCUUGACGGUACUGUAGGAAUAAGGAUCGGCUAACUCCGUG